This 303-nucleotide small nuclear RNA is filed under the name Myotis lucifugus (little brown bat). Its description in RNAcentral is "7SK RNA". It matches the Rfam family "7SK RNA". From Rfam's summary of the family: 7SK was discovered as an abundant small nuclear RNA in the mid-70s but a possible function has only recently been suggested. Two independent studies have found that 7SK RNA binds the CDK9/cyclin T complex (known as elongation factor P-TEFb). Lineage: Eukaryota; Metazoa; Chordata; Mammalia; Chiroptera; Vespertilionidae. The record is from Rfam by way of RNAcentral.
GGAUGUGAGGGCGAUCUGGCUGCGACAUCUGUCACCACAUUGAUCGCCAGGGUUGAUUCGGCUGAUCUGGCUGGCUAGGCGGGUGUCCCCCUCCUCCCUCACCGAUCCAUGUGCGUCCCUCCCGAAGCUGCGUGCUCGGGCGAAGAGGACGACCUUCCCCCCCGAGGAGAGGACCGGUCUUUGGUCAAGGGUAUACGAGUAGCUGCGCUCCCCUGCUAGAACCUCCAAACAAGCUCUCAAGAAUGCUAUAAAUAAUUUUUCCAACAAAUUUGGAAGUAAAUUCUUAGGCAGAUAUAAUUUAUU